This 764-nucleotide ribosomal RNA is filed under the name Proteus mirabilis. RNAcentral's name for it is "partial 23S ribosomal RNA". It matches the Rfam family "Bacterial large subunit ribosomal RNA", at positions 890 to 1654 of the family's 2925-position model. The record is from RNAcentral. Lineage: Bacteria; Pseudomonadati; Pseudomonadota; Gammaproteobacteria; Enterobacterales; Morganellaceae.
UCAUCUUCGGGGGUAGAGCACUGUUUCGACUAGGGGGUCAUCCCGACUUACCAACUCGAUGCAAACUGCGAAUACCGAAGAAUGUUAUCACGGGAGACACACGGCGGGUGCUAACGUCCGUCGUGAAGAGGGAAACAACCCAGACCGCCAGCUAAGGUCCCAAAGUCAUGGUUAAGUGGGAAACGAAGUGGGAAGGCUCAGACAGCCAGGAUGUUGGCUUAGAAGCAGCCAUCAUUUAAAGAAAGCGUAAUAGCUCACUGGUCGAGUCGGCCCGCGCGGAAGAUGUAACGGGGCUAAACCAUGCACCGAAGCUGCGGCAGCGACACAAAGUGUUGUUGGGUAGGGGAGCGUUCUGUAAGCCUGCGAAGGUGUACUGUGAGGUAUGCUGGAGGUAUCAGAAGUGCGAAUGCUGACAUAAGUAACGAUAAUGCGGGUGAAAAACCCGCACGCCGGAAGACCAAGGGUUCCUGUCCAACGUUAAUCGGGGCAGGGUGAGUCGACCCCUAAGGCGAGGCUGAAAAGCGUAGUCGAUGGGAAACGGGUUAAUAUUCCCGUACUGGUGGUAACUGCGAUGGGGGAACGGAGAAGGCUAGGUUGUCCGGGCGACGGUCGUCCCGGUUCAAGCAGGUAGGCAGAGUGAUUAGGCAAAUCCGGUCACUUAAUGCUGAGAUGUGAUGACGAACCACUAAGGUGGUGAAGCAAUUGAUGCCCCGCUUCCAGGAAAAGCCUCUAAGCUUCAGGUUACCAACAAUCGUACCCCAAAC